This 74-nucleotide transfer RNA is filed under the name Boodlea composita. Its description in RNAcentral is "tRNA-Leu". Lineage: Eukaryota; Viridiplantae; Chlorophyta; Ulvophyceae; Cladophorales; Boodleaceae. The record is from RNAcentral.
AUCGCCAGAGUUCAGCAGCACGUGCUGGGGCGUGAGGAUCCCCAUUCACUGCGUGGCCACCGAGAGCGGAGGUU